Non-coding RNA from Acanthosepion pharaonis, 111 nucleotides. The record is from the annotation of a GenBank genome assembly. NCBI's taxonomy places the organism in Eukaryota, Metazoa, Mollusca, Cephalopoda, Sepiida, Sepiidae.
ACAGCCACAUCAUGUUGAAACACUGGUCCCAUACAAUGACCAAAGUUAAGCAAUGUUAAGCCUGGUCAGUACUUAGAUGGGUGACCACUUGGAAAUGCCAAUUGCUGUAAG